GAUGAACGCUAGCUACAGGCUUAACACCUGCAAGUCGAGGGACCGGCGCACGGGUGAGUAACACGUAUCCAACCUGCCCUUUACUCGGGGAUCUACUUUCGAAAGAAAGAUUAAUACCCACUAUAAAGGAUGGGGGUGCGUUCCAUUAGGUUGUUGGUGAGGUAACGGCUCACCAAGCCUUCGAUGGAUAGGGGUUCUGAGAGGAAGGUCCCCCACAUUGGAACUGGGACACGGUCCCAACUCCUACGGGAGGCAGCAGUGAGGAAUAGUGGUCAAGGGGCGCUAGCCUGAACCAGCCAAGUAGCGUGAAGGAGGCAGGCUUAUUGGUCGUAAACUUCUUUUAUAUAAGAAUAUGUAUUAUAUGAAUAAGGAGCGGCUAACUCCGUGCCAGCAGCCGCGGUAAUUC
Molecule: ribosomal RNA, 406 nt
Filed under: uncultured bacterium
Lineage: Bacteria
Description: partial 16S ribosomal RNA
Rfam family: Bacterial small subunit ribosomal RNA
Source: RNAcentral